UACGCUGGCGGCACGCCUAACACAUGCAAGUCGAACGCAGUAGCAAUACUGAGUGGCAGACGGGUGAGUAUAAUGUGGGUAUCUGCCUUUUGGUUUGGAAUAACAAACGAAUUC
This 114-nucleotide ribosomal RNA is filed under the name uncultured bacterium. RNAcentral describes it as "partial 16S ribosomal RNA". It matches the Rfam family "Bacterial small subunit ribosomal RNA", at positions 33 to 157 of the family's 1533-position model. The record is from RNAcentral.